This 1424-nucleotide unclassified non-coding RNA is filed under the name Leishmania donovani. RNAcentral describes it as "gene:LdHU3.33.4760(CDS-product:Trypsin-like_pepti dase_domain_containing_protein_putative)". The record is from RNAcentral. Lineage: Eukaryota; Euglenozoa; Kinetoplastea; Trypanosomatida; Trypanosomatidae.
CGGGAGAGCCGCCUGUGGGAGGCUGUCCUAAAGCGCAAUGGCAGAAGGCGCCGCUGCUGUUGGCGGCGCCGGCGUGCUAGCGGCCGCUUCACAGUGGCGCGGCUGCUGUUACCCGAUUCUGACCUUCCUGCACGUCCCGGGAAAAAUGACGAAGCCUCUGUGGCUCAUGAUGGGCACCGCCUUUACAUUUCGAACCCAUGAAAUGGUCGAGGCGACAUACGGGCAGCCGGCAGCCCCGUCAUCGCUGCUGCUCACAGCGAAGCACUCUUUUUCGCCGUGGGACUACACAAAAGACGCAUCGCAGCUGAAGAUCCCAAAAGAGUACCAAAAGCCGCGUUUUGUCAUUGGCCGCGUGUACCGCACGGAUGCAGACGGGAGAGCGGUGGCGGCAGACGCGGUGGGUCUCCGCCUUCUUGCUCACCACCCCAUCCACGACGUGGCUCUACUCGCUGUCGAUGCCGCAUCGUUGAAGCUGCUGCAGUGCGCUACCUACGAUUCACCCGCUCACGCAUUGGACUUGGCGCACGAGGCCCUGCCGCUGUGCAAAGAGCCAUAUCCCGCAGCAUCGGAUGGACUGCUGAUUGGCUUCCGCGGCGCUGGCCGGCUUGGGGAGCUUGACACGCUGGACCCGUCUGUGCUGCAACGUCUGCCGCCACACGAGCGCGAGGCCCUUAUUAAGGAUCUGCAGGACGUGGAGGGCAAGCAGAGGCGAGCCACCACUACCGUCUCGGUACUGGACGCGCGGGGCAUGUGCAAAGGUGUGGGUGAUCUCGCAAUAUGCUAUCACGGCAUGUCGGGCGGCCCCCUCGUCACCACAAAUGGCCAAUGUGCGGGGGUGCUGUACGGCCACCAUCCGGAUGCGCCCGGGUGCAUCGGCUACACACCCUGCGCGGACUUUGCAGGCUGGCUGGAGGAGGAGGUGCAGCGGUACAGGAAGCGGUGCGACUUGCAUUGAUACUCUGGCAAGAGGAGUACGAAGCGAGUUACCGCACCUCCUUUUAAUGAGGCGGGCAGAAUCACCUUGGGGGUGUCGAGACAUUACCAGGGAUGUCACGGCCGCCACCCCGUAUGAGCGAAGCGAAAAAGAAAAGGCCGGUUUUCUUUGUCGUACUGCGCGUGUGUCCGUUUGCACAAAUGGGCAGAGGGGCGGAGAGGAGGCCACGAGCCACCCUAUGCACCUAAAGCAUGCCAUCACAGCAGACACAUGCACAUACAUAUGCACAGCUGCGCACCUAAACAGCACAGAAAGCGGCAGGGGACGGGGAGGAACUCCCGUGGCACGUCCCGCUGGGCUUGGUUGGGCGCAUACUCGCUCAGCUUCCUCUCUUCUGCCGUUUCCUGCCUUCUGUCUCACUCCCGGCUCCUUCCCGCACGCCCGAGGUUUCUUCCCCGCCAUUUCCCACCUCCCUCUUUCUUACCUUUAG